UUUCCGACCAGCAAAUGCAACCAUAUAGCCAUUUGAAGACGGAUUGAAGGAAGACACAGAGGAAGUAGUGUUGACGGUAAGAAGGGAGAUCUCAUCAACCUUAGGUCUAAACACAGAUAUCAGAGAAUUUCCAUUCGUAAGACCGAGCCUGCUGUCGCAAGGAGACAACUGCAAGGUUUUAUUGAACAGAAACUUCUGCUCCGUCGCAAAAGCAAACCCUAAGGUGAAGCCGUCGGACUUCUCAACAGUUGUGUCGGUGCAAGGUGAGAAAACUCGGUUGUUAUCGCUAGCUUCGACAACCACCGCCGUCACCAACAGAAGCAGAACGGCGAACGCCAGUGGGAGAUCGGAAAUCACCAUGGUCGAAUUGGAGAUCGAAGCUUGGAAAUGGAAA
This 394-nucleotide unclassified non-coding RNA is filed under the name Hevea brasiliensis (rubber tree). Lineage: Eukaryota; Viridiplantae; Streptophyta; Magnoliopsida; Malpighiales; Euphorbiaceae. The record is from RNAcentral.